CGGGACACGUGGUAUCCUGUCUGAAUAUGGGGGGACCAUCCUCCAAGGCUAAAUACUCCUGACUGACCGAUAGUGAACCAGUACCGUGAGGGAAAGGCGAAAAGAACCCCGGCGAGGGGAGUGAAAAAGAACCUGAAACCGUGUACGUACAAGCAGUGGGAGCACAGAGCAAUCUGUGUGACUGCGUACCUUUUGUAUAAUGGGUCAGCGACUUAUAUUCUGUAGCAAGGUUAACCGAAUAGGGGAGCCGAAGGGAAACCGAGUCUUAACUGGGCGUUAAGUUGCAGGGUAUAGACCCGAAACCCGGUGAUCUAGCCAUGGGCAGGUUGAAGGUUGGGUAACACUAACUGGAGGACCGAACCGACUAAUGUUGAAAAAUUAGCGGAUGACUUGUGGCUGGGGGUGAAAGGCCAAUCAAACCGGGAGAUAGCUGGUUCUCCCCGAAAGCUAUUUAGGUAGCGCCUCGUGAAUUCAUCUCCGGGGGUAGAGCACUGUUUCGGCAAGGGGGUCAUCCCGACUUACCAACCCGAUGCAAACUACGAAUACCGGAGAAUGUUAUCACGGGAGACACACGGCGGGUGCUAACGUCCGUCGUGAAGAGGGAAACAACCCAGACCGCCAGCUAAGGUCCCAAAGUCAUGGUUAAGUGGGAAACGAUGUGGGAAGGCCCAGACAGCCAGGAUGUUGGCUUAGAAGCAGCCAUCAUUUAAAGAAAGCGUAAUAGCUCACUGGUCGAGUCGGCCUGCGCGGAAGAUGUAACGGGGCUAAACCAUGCACCGAAGCUGCGGCAGCGACGCUGAUGCGUUGUUGGGUAGGGGAGCGUUCUGUAAGCCUGCGAAGGUGUGCUGUGAGGCAUGCUGGAGGUAUCAGAAGUGCGAAUGCUGACAUAAGUAACGAUAAAGCGGGUGAAAAGCCCGCUCGCCGGAAGACCAAGGGUUCCUGUCCAACGUUAAUCGGGGCAGGGUGAGUCGACCCCUAAGGCGAGGCCGAAAGGCGUAGUCGAUGGGAAACAGGUUAAUAUUCCUGUACUUGGUGUUACUGCGAAGGGGGGACGGAGAAGGCUAUGUUGGCCGGGCGACGGUUGUCCCGGUUUAAGCGUGUAGGCUGGUUUUCCAGGCAAAUCCGGAAAAUCAAGGCUGAGGCGUGAUGACGAGGCACUACGGUGCUGAAGCAACAAAUGCCCUGCUUCCAGGAAAAGCCUCUAAGCAUCAGGUAACAUCAAAUCGUACCCCAAACCGACACAGGUGGUCAGGUAGAGAAUACCAAGGCGCUUGAGAGAACUCGGGUGAAGGAACUAGGCAAAAUGGUGCCGUAACUUCGGGAGAAGGCACGCUGAUAUGUAGGUGAAGUCCCUCGCGGAUGGAGCUGAAAUCAGUCGAAGAUACCAGCUGGCUGCAACUGUUUAUUAAAAACACAGCACUGUGCAAACACGAAAGUGGACGUAUACGGUGUGACGCCUGCCCGGUGCCGGAAGGUUAAUUGAUGGGGUCAGCGCAAGCGAAGCUCUUGAUCGAAGCCCCGGUAAACGGCGGCCGUAACUAUAACGGUCCUAAGGUAGCGAAAUUCCUUGUCGGGUAAGUUCCGACCUGCACGAAUGGCGUAAUGAUGGCCAGGCUGUCUCCACCCGAGACUCAGUGAAAUUGAACUCGCUGUGAAGAUGCAGUGUACCCGCGGCAAGACGGAAAGACCCCGUGAACCUUUACUAUAGCUUGACACUGAACAUUGAGCCUUGAUGUGUAGGAUAGGUGGGAGGCUUUGAAGUGUGGACGCCAGUCUGCAUGGAGCCGACCUUGAAAUACCACCCUUUAA
RNAcentral lists this ribosomal RNA (1809 nucleotides) under Escherichia coli. RNAcentral describes it as "partial 23S ribosomal RNA". It matches the Rfam family "Bacterial large subunit ribosomal RNA", at positions 418 to 2210 of the family's 2925-position model. Lineage: Bacteria; Pseudomonadati; Pseudomonadota; Gammaproteobacteria; Enterobacterales; Enterobacteriaceae. The record is from RNAcentral.